Etheostoma cragini (Arkansas darter) is the source of this 102-nucleotide long non-coding RNA. RefSeq lists it as uncharacterized. The record is from RefSeq and is a predicted model, not a curated record. NCBI's taxonomy places the organism in Eukaryota, Metazoa, Chordata, Actinopteri, Perciformes, Percidae. The transcript is spliced from 4 exons.
CAGACAUCUGCUACCUGUUUACACCGCCACAAACAUGCCCAGUGUAUGCAAAUGGUCAUGUGAUAUGUGUUGUCAGACUUAAUAUGGGCGGAGAGCGUGGAA